Molecule: ribosomal RNA, 528 nt
Filed under: uncultured bacterium
Lineage: Bacteria
Description: bacterial SSU rRNA
Rfam family: Bacterial small subunit ribosomal RNA
Source: RNAcentral
AGUCAAUAGAUACCCGGGUAGUCCACGCCGUAAACGAUGAGUACUAGGUGUAGGAGGUAUCGACUCCUUCUGUGCCGCAGUUAAACACAAUAAGUACUCCGCCUGGGAAGUACGGUCGCAAGAUUAAAACUCAAAGGAAUUGGCGGGGGCCCGCACAAGCAGCGGAGCAUGUGGUUUAAUUCGAAGCAACGCGAAGAACCUUACCUAGACUUGACAUCUCCUGAAUAGCGCAGAGAUGCGUGAAGCCCUUCGGGGCAGGAAGACAGGUGGUGCAUGGUUGUCGUCAGCUCGUGUCGUGAGAUGUUGGGUUAAGUCCCGCAACGAGCGCAACCCCUAUUAUUAGUUGCUACCAUUAAGUUGAGCACUCUAAUGAGACUGCCUGGGUUAACCGGGAGGAAGGCGGGGAUGACGUCAAAUCAUCAUGCCCCUUAUGUCUAGGGCUACACACGUGCUACAAUGGUGAGAACAACGAGAUGCAAUACCGCGAGGUGGAGCAAAACUUGAAAACUCAUCUCAGUUCGGAUUGUA